AUUGAACGCUGGCGGCAUGCCUUACACAUGCAAGUCGAACGGCAGCACGGGUGCUUGCACCUGGUGGCGAGUGGCGAACGGGUGAGUAAUACAUCGGAACAUGUCCUGUAGUGGGGGAUAGCCCGGCGAAAGCCGGAUUAAUACCGCAUACGAUCUACGGAUGAAAGCGGGGGACCUUCGGGCCUCGCGCUAUAGGGUUGGCCGAUGGCUGAUUAGCUAGUUGGUGGGGUAAAGGCCUACCAAGGCGACGAUCAGUAGCUGGUCUGAGAGGACGACCAGCCACACUGGGACUGAGACUCGGCCCAGACUCCUACGGGAGGCAGCAGUGGGGAAUUUUGGACAAUGGGCGAAAGCCUGAUCCAGCAAUGCCGCGUGUGUGAAGAAGGCCUUCGGGUUGUAAAGCACUUUUGUCCGGAAAGAAAUCCUUGGCUCUAAUACAGUCGGGGGAUGACGGUACCGGAAGAAUAAGCACCGGCUAACUACGUG
Molecule: ribosomal RNA, 486 nt
Filed under: uncultured bacterium
Lineage: Bacteria
Description: partial 16S ribosomal RNA
Rfam family: Bacterial small subunit ribosomal RNA
Source: RNAcentral